ACAAUGGAGAGUUUGAUCCUGGCUCAGGAUGAACGCUAGCGGCAGGCUUAAUACAUGCAAGUCGGACGGCAGCACGGGUAGCAAUACCUGGUGGCGAGUGGCGCACGGGUGCGUAACGCGUAUGCAACCUACCCUUAACUGAGACAUAACCUGGCGAAAGCUGGGCUAAUAUCUCAUGAGGUUAUAGAGGGGCAUCCUGAUAUAAUCAAAGCAGCGAUGUGGUUAAGGAUGGGCAUGCGUCCCAUUAGCUAGUUGGCGAGGUA
RNAcentral lists this ribosomal RNA (263 nucleotides) under Anaerolineae bacterium. RNAcentral's name for it is "partial 16S ribosomal RNA". It matches the Rfam family "Bacterial small subunit ribosomal RNA", at positions 1 to 259 of the family's 1533-position model. Lineage: Bacteria; Bacillati; Chloroflexota; Anaerolineae. The record is from RNAcentral.